Molecule: ribosomal RNA, 193 nt
Rfam family: Bacterial small subunit ribosomal RNA
UUUUAUGGAGAGUUUGAUCCUGGCUCAGGAUGAACGCUGGCGGCGUGCCUAAUACAUGCAAGUCGAGCGAACGGACGAGAAGCUUGCUUUUCUGAUGUUAGCGGCGGACGGGUGAGUAACACGUGGAUAACCUACCUAUAAGACUGGGAUAACUUCGGGAAACCGGAGCUAAUACCGGAUAAUAUUUUGAACC